RNAcentral lists this unclassified non-coding RNA (404 nucleotides) under soil metagenome. Its description in RNAcentral is "partial contains 5.8S ribosomal RNA, internal transcribed spacer 2, and large subunit ribosomal RNA". The stretch from base 1 to 122 matches the Rfam family "5.8S ribosomal RNA", at positions 35 to 154 of the family's 154-position model. The record is from RNAcentral.
GAUGAAGAACGCAGCAAAAUGCGAUACUUGGUGUGAAUUGCAGAAUCCCGUGAACCAUCGAGUUUUUGAACGCAAGUUGCGCCCGAAGCCUUUUGGCCGAGGGCACGUCUGCCUGGGCGUCACGCAUCGCGUCGCCCCCCACAAUUCUCCGUAAAGGGAACGGGUGUUUUGGGGGCGGAUAUUGGUCUCCCGUGCUCAUGGCGUGGUUGGCCGAAAUAGGAGUCCUUUCGAUGGACGCACGAACUAGUGGUGGUCGUAAAAACCCUCGUCUUUUGUUUCGUGCUGUUGCUCGCAAGGUAAACUCUUUAAAAACCCCAAUGUGUCGUCUCUUGACGACGCUUCGACCGCGACCCCAGGUCAGGCGGGACUACCCGCUGAGUUUAAGCAUAUCAAUAAGCGGAGGA